Molecule: ribosomal RNA, 262 nt
Filed under: uncultured bacterium
Lineage: Bacteria
Description: partial 16S ribosomal RNA
Rfam family: Bacterial small subunit ribosomal RNA
Source: RNAcentral
CGGCGCGACGGUGGAGUAGACGCGUAUCCAACCUGCCCUUUACUAUGGGACAGCCCGUCGAAAGGCGGAUUAAUACCGUAUGUUGUCAUGUUGAUGCAUAUUUUCAUGACCAAAGGCUUCGGCCGGUAAAGGAUGGGGAUGCGUCUGAUUAGCUUGCCGGCGGGGUAACGGCCCACCGGGGCGACGAUCAGUAGGGGUUCUGAGAGGAAGGUCCCCCACAUUGGAACUGAGACACGGUCCAAACUCCUACGGGAGGCAGCAG